GACGAACGCUGUCGGCGUGCUUAACACAUGCAAGUCGAACGGAAAGGCCCUGCUUUUGUGGGGUGCUCGAGUGGCGAACGGGUGAGUAACACGUGAGUAACCUGCCCUUGACUUUGGGAUAACUUCAGGAAACUGGGGCUAAUACCGGAUAGGAGCUCCUGCUGCAUGGUGGGGGUUGGAAAGUUUCGGCGGUUGGGGAUGGACUCGCGGCUUAUCAGCUUGUUGGUGGGGUAGUGGCUUACCAAGGCUUUGACGGGUAGCCGGCCUGAGAGGGUGACCGGCCACAUUGGGACUGAGAUACGGCCCAGACUCCUACGGGAGGCAGCAGUGGGGAAUAUUGCACAAUGGGCGGAAGCCUGAUGCAGCAACGCCGCGUGCGGGAUGACGGCCUUCGGGUUGUAAACCGCUUUCGCCUGUGACGAAGCGUGAGUGACGGUAAUGGGUAAAGAAGCACCGGCUAACUACGUGCCAGCAGCCGCGGUGAUACGUAGGGUGCGAGCGUUGUCCGGAUUUAUUGGGCGUAAAGGGCUCGUAGGUGGUUGAUCGCGUCGGAAGUGUAAUCUUGGGGCUUAACCCUGAGCGUGCUUUCGAUACGGGUUGACUUGAGGAAGGUAGGGGAGAAUGGAAUUCCUGGUGGAGCGGUGGAAUGCGCAGAUAUCAGGAGGAACACCAGUGGCGAAGGCGGUUCUCUGGGCCUUUCCUGACGCUGAGGAGCGAAAGCGUGGGGAGCGAACAGGCUUAGAUACCCUGGUAGUCCACGCUGUAAACGGUGGGUACUAGGUGUGGGGUCCAUUCCACGGGUUCCGUGCCGUAGCUAACGCUUUAAGUACCCCGCCUGGGGAGUACGGCCGCAAGGCUAAAACUCAAAGGAAUUGACGGGGCCCCGCACAAGCGGCGGAGCAUGCGGAUUAAUUCGAUGCAACGCGUAGAACCUUACCUGGGUUUGACAUGGAUCGGGAGUGCUCAGAGAUGGGUGUGCCUCUUUUGGGGUCGGUUCACAGGUGGUGCAUGGCUGUCGUCAGCUCGUGUCGUGAGAUGUUGGGUUAAGUCCCGCAACGAGCGCAACCCUUGUUCACUGUUGCCAGCACGUUAUGGUGGGGACUCAGUGGAGACCGCCGGGGUCAACUCGGAGGAAGGUGGGGAUGACGUCAAGUCAUCAUGCCCCUUAUGUCCAGGGCUUCACGCAUGCUACAAUGGCUGGUACAGAGAGUGGCGAGCCUGUGAGGGUGAGCGAAUCUCGGAAAGCCGGUCUCAGUUCGGAUUGGUGUCUGCAACUCGACCUCAUGAAGUCGGAGUCGCUAGUAAUCGCAGAUCAGCAACGCUGCGGUGAAUACGUUCCCGGG
This 1343-nucleotide ribosomal RNA is filed under the name uncultured bacterium. RNAcentral describes it as "16S ribosomal RNA". It matches the Rfam family "Bacterial small subunit ribosomal RNA", at positions 28 to 1378 of the family's 1533-position model. The record is from RNAcentral.